This 468-nucleotide ribosomal RNA is filed under the name uncultured bacterium. Its description in RNAcentral is "partial 16S ribosomal RNA". It matches the Rfam family "Bacterial small subunit ribosomal RNA", at positions 28 to 507 of the family's 1533-position model. The record is from RNAcentral.
GACGAACGCUGGCGGCGUGCUUAACACAUGCAAGUCGAACGGAAAGGCCCUGCUUUUGUGGGGUGCUCGAGUGGCGAACGGGUGAGUAACACGUGAGUAACCUGCCCUUGACUUUGGGAUAACUUCAGGUAACUGGGGCUAAUACCGGAUAGGAGCUCCUGCUUCAUGGUGGGGGUUGGAAAGUUUCGGCGGUUGGGGAUGGACUCGCGGCUUAUCAGCUUGUUGGUGGGGUAGUGGCUUACCAAGGCUUUGGCGGGUAGCCGGCCUGAGAGGGUGACCGGCCACAUUGGGACUGAGGUACGGCCCAGACUCGUACGGGAGGGAGCAGUGGGGAAUUUUGCACAAUGGGCGAAAGCCUGAUGCAGCAACGCCGCGUGCGGGAUGACGGCCUUCGGGUUGUAAACCGCUUUCGCCUGUGACGAAGCGUGAGUGACGGUAAUGGGUAAAGAAGCACCGGCUAACUACGUG